This 237-nucleotide ribosomal RNA is filed under the name uncultured bacterium. RNAcentral describes it as "partial 16S ribosomal RNA". It matches the Rfam family "Bacterial small subunit ribosomal RNA", at positions 99 to 334 of the family's 1533-position model. The record is from RNAcentral.
CGAACGGGUGAGUAACGCGUGAGGAACCUGCCUCAAAGAGGGGGACAACAGUUGGAAACGACUGCUAAUACCGCAUAAGCCCACGGCUCGGCAUCGAGCAGGGGGAAAAGGAGCAAUCCGCUUUGAGAUGGCCUCGCGUCCGAUUAGCUAGUUGGUGAGGUAAUGGCCCACCAAGGCAACGAUCGGUAGCCGGACUGAGAGGUUGAACGGCCACAUUGGGACUGAGACACGGCCCAG